GUUUCUUUACCAGGAAUGGUGGAACCUUCUACAAAGCCUCACACUGCCUGUUUGGAGAAGAAAAGGCAACAUCGAACCCCGCCUUGUGGGUUUGUUACCCACUUGGGGACUCAUCCAGGAUCCGUUCCUCGUGGAUUGGUGGCCAAGGAGUGGGGAGAGACUUUAAAGGCUCCGUAGCAGCUGCCUGGCUGAGUUUCUGCAGAGGAUUACGUUGUCCUGGGAGACUCAAGUUGAAGCUGACCAAUUGCAUGCGGAAGACCCAAAUAACCAUGUGAGAACUAGAGCUAAUUUAGCCAUCCCAACACAUGACCCCAUCUGGAACCCAAACAAUGGAGAAGAAGGUUCCAGUUUCCAGCAGACAUGCCCUUUCAUUCCAUAAUGCCAGGAGACAAGGUGUUACUGAAAAACCUGGAUAAACCAGCAUCCUGAAGAUCAACUACAGCCACAGUGGAUCAGCCCCUUUGAGGUGCUUCUGAAAACUCACUCAACAGGAAUGGUGAAACCUCCUACAAAGCCUCACACUACCUGUUUGUCUGGAGAAGACAAGAUAAAAGCCUCACACUACCUGUUUGUCUGGAGAAGACAAGAUAAGCAGUACUCCACCACAGACCAUGCUCAAAGACACACUGAGCCCAGGCACGAGGCCACAAGAACCAUGAAUAUGAACCCCAGAUCAUUAAAAUACUAAUGGGAGGGACCUAUCUGCCACUCUUUGAUCAUGGGACAUAUGUACUAGAAUGGUUUUUCACUGUACUUGUUUGCCUUGCACGAUUUUGCCUGAGAAAACUCUCUGACCAUGUUGGUCACGGAGGCAGAUUUGAGGCACUUCAUAACUGCCCCCUCCCAGCUGAUGUGUCCUCUGAAAUAAAUCCUUUCGUCUUUA
Lemur catta (Ring-tailed lemur) is the source of this 883-nucleotide long non-coding RNA. RefSeq lists it as uncharacterized. NCBI's taxonomy places the organism in Eukaryota, Metazoa, Chordata, Mammalia, Primates, Lemuridae. The record is from RefSeq and is a predicted model, not a curated record. The transcript has 5 exons.